GGGCUGUUGCUGGCUCCUUGCAUGUGCACGCCUGUUCAUUUAUUUCUCCUCUGUGCACCAGCUGUAGGUCUAGGCCUAUGUUUUUUUUUACACUCUCUCAAAUGUGUUUGGAAUGUCAUAUGCGAAUAUAUAAUAUAUACAACUUUCAGCAACGGAUCUCUUGGCUCUCGCAUCGAUGAAGAACGCAGCGAAAUGCGAUAAGUAAUGUGAAUUGCAGAAUUCAGUGAAUCAUCGAAUCUUUGAACGCAUCUUGCGCUCCUUGGUAUUCUGAGGAGCAUGCCUGUUUGAGUGUCAUAAAGUUCUCAAUCCAUGCCAUGGUAUGGAUUGGAUGGUUGGGAUUUGCAGGCUUUGAAAAAAAGGUCUGCUUUCCUGAAACAAAUUAGUGGCGUCCGAGCACAAGGGGACCACUACAGGUUGUAUUUAUGCCUCCUGUAAAACCCCCAUUGCCCAAGCUGCUUCAUAUCUCAUGACCCAUUUGACCUCAAAUCAGGUAGGACUACCCGCUGAACUUAAGCAUAUCAAUAAGCGGAGGAAAAGAAACUAACAAGGAUUCCCCUAGUAACUGCGAGUGAAGCGGGAAGAGCUCAAAUUUGAAAUCUGGCGGCUGUUUGACCGUCCGAGUUGUAAUCUAGAGAAGUGCUACCCGUGCUGGACCGUGUACAAGUCUCCUGGAAUGGGGCAUCAUAGAGGGUGAGAAUCCCGUCUUUGACACGGACUGCCAGUGCGCCGUGGGUGUGCUCUCGAAGAGUCGAGUUGUUUGGGAAUGCAGCUCAAAAUGGGUGGUAAAUGCCAUCUAAAGCUAAAUAUUGGCGAGAGACCGAUAGCGAACAAGUACCGUGAGGGAAAGAUGAAAAGAACUUUGGAAAGAGAGUUAAACAGUACGUGAAAUUGCUGAAAGGGAAACGCUUGGAGUCAGUCGCGUUGGCCAGGAAUCAGCCCUGCUUCUGCUUGGUGUACUUUCUGGUCUCCAACGGGUCAGCAUCAAUCUUGACCGCCGGACAAAGUCUUUGGGAAUGUGGCAUCUUCUGGAUGUGUUAUAGCCCAUGGUCGCAUACGGCGGCUGGGAUUGAGGAACUCAGCAUGGCCCCGCAAGGGACAAUUGGGUCCUUGGACCACAUUCGUGCUUAGGAUGCUGGCGUAAUGGCUUCAAUCGACCCGUCUUGAAACACGGACCAAGGAGUCUAACAUGCCUGCGAGUGUUUGGGUGGAAAAACCCAUGCGCGCAAUGAAAGUGAAAGUUGAGACCUCUGUCAAAGGAGAGCAUUGACGCCCAGACCAGACCUUCUGCGACGGAUCUGCGGUAGAGCAUGUGUGUUGGGACCCGAAAGAUGGUGAACUAUGCCUGAAUAGGGUGAAGCCAGAGGAAACUCUGGUGGAGGCUCGUAGCGAUUCUGACGUGCAAAUCGAUCGUCAAAUUUGGGUAUAGGGGCGAAAGACUAAUCGAACCAUCUAGUAGCUGGUUCCUGCCGAAGUUUCCCUCAGGAUAGCNGANACUCGAAUCAAAUUUAUGUGGUAAAGCGANUGAUUAGAGGCCUUGGGGUUGAAACAACCUUAACCUAUUCUCAAACUUUAAAU
This 1575-nucleotide ribosomal RNA is filed under the name Inocybe krieglsteineri. Its description in RNAcentral is "eukaryotic LSU rRNA". The stretch from base 477 to 1575 matches the Rfam family "Eukaryotic large subunit ribosomal RNA", at positions 1 to 1070 of the family's 3401-position model. Lineage: Eukaryota; Fungi; Basidiomycota; Agaricomycetes; Agaricales; Inocybaceae. The record is from RNAcentral.